UCCCCUUUUUUUAUAGCAUCAUCAACAGAAAUGCUGCACCUUAUCUCUUUCAUCUUUCAGCUUUCUGAAGUUCCGUCUUGAGGGCUUGUAUCUUGCUUCUGUAGUUGAACAGAUAACCAAUCUGUCGUCCUAUAGGAGCUAUAGACUGAUCAAAAACCACCGAGGAAAAAGCAGUGACAAACUGUAGAACUGUCUGUAGAUCCAUUUACGUCCUUUCUCUUUCUUUCACUUUUGGUUACUGGCUUUCUGAUUCAAGCAGAUGAAAAAAAAAAACAGAGAGGAAAAAUGAACUGAAAAGACUGUGUUAUCAGAGACAUAUGACAAACUAGCUAGUAAUGAUGAUAUUUGAACUUUUUAGAAUUCAAUUUGUCGAUUAAAUCUAAGUCUAGACAGAAACUACAGACGGAAAGAUAAAAAAACAAGAACAAGAUACAAAGUAUACAAGAAAAAAUGUCUUUAAUGGCCUAAGACCAAUUUGGAAAAAGAAACUUCCUAGUUUCUGAUUGUUGAAUUCUAUAGCAGUUAAAUUAUUUCUGAUAAAAAUGUCAACCCAUUGUGGUUGGUUCCCUGUCAUGACAAUAAGCAAUUACCUUUUUCGGUCAGUUUAGAACUCACUUGUUUCUUUUUCCUGGAAACUUAACAUAUGUUUUCCUGGAAACUUAAACGCAAAAUAAGUUGUUGACCAUUGUCAGGGUUCAAGAGUAUAUACUCGUUCUGUGAAAUCCAAAGUAAGGAGGUAGCAAAAAAGACAGUUUAAUGCGGAAAAGGUAGAUGAACCAAAGAAAGAUACGAAUCUGUGGUUUUCAUCUACAGUAAAUUGAAUAAAGAAAGAGAAAAUUUUUUAAAAAAGAUCAUUACUGUAAGAAUGCUAUCUCAACUGCUGCCUAAAUGUUAAGCAUAAAUGCUAAAAAAAGGUUAAUUAAUUAUUAUUUGAUUUUUUAUUAAUUCUUUCACUUCUUUCUUUCUUUAACUAAUUUUGGCACUUAAACUUACAUGGUCUUUUUAUAUUGGAAUUACUUCUAUUCGAUCUUAAGAUUUUUCACUUGAGUUUUAUAAAUUUUUCCGUGUAAAUUUAAUACACGUAUAAACUUUUUUCAAAUGAAAUAACCAUUUCGUUACAUUUGAUUCAACUCUAUUAUAUUUUCAUUCUAAUUUAAAUCUUAAUUGUUUAAUAUAUAAAUUUUAAUACUAAUUUCUAUAAUUAAAUAAACUUUAUCUGUAUGUUCAAUCUCAUAAUGAUAAAUUUACAUUCCACUAAUAAAAUCAAAUCAUAAAAACACAUCAACAGAUAAAUAGGAUAUGAAGAUGAUUACUAAUUAUAAUUGUAUUUUAAUUCCAAUUUUAUCUUCCUUCCAUUACAUUCCGACUUAUAUUCCUUAAAAUUUAAGUUUGAAGACACCUUAACCUUUGUUUACUAGAUGAAAUGGCAUGCUCAUUCUUCACAUCCCAUCAACAUAUAUAUAUUUCACCAACUUUCUACGUCUCUCACAGAACAAAUAUCAAACACCUUGUGAGCAUCCCCAAACUUCUCCGUCCACAAAAAGCAAGCAAAUGAAUCAGGUAGUUUCUAGCAGACAAAUUUCAGUCACCAGGCUUUCAAAGCCAGGGAGUAGAACUUCCAUACUCCGCUCAAUUCACCUCAAAUCCAAGCAAAAUUCGUUCCAAAACAUGGUUCCGUUAUAAAAUCUCAAUCCAGCAAAAGCGUCAUUCGAGUUUAAACAGCAGCAAGAGAAAGAACACUCAAUGAAGUUAAACUUAAGCUUGUUUAUACCAGGCUUGCAAGGAGAGAGACUGCUAAAUGAGAUGAAGACAACAAGUCGAACGCGUACGCGGCGGAAUUCUCCAUGCUGAUCCGGGAUUUCAGCUUACCUGCUCUUUCUUUUUCCUUUUUUUUUUCUUCAUCUCCUUUGACUUUUCUGAAUACAGACAAGUAGAAAAAUGAUGAACUUGGAAUUUUCAAUAUUAUAAUUUAAAUUUUUU
Molecule: long non-coding RNA, 1980 nt
Filed under: Carica papaya (papaya)
Lineage: Eukaryota; Viridiplantae; Streptophyta; Magnoliopsida; Brassicales; Caricaceae
Description: long non-coding RNA (CPAP_LNC015901)
Source: RNAcentral